GGAGUCGGGUGCUAUAAUGCAGUCGAGCGGACAGAUGGGAGCUUGCUCCCUGAUGUUAGCGGCGGACGCCUGAGUAACACGUGAGGUUCCUGCCUGUAAGACUGGCAUAACUCCGGGAAACCGGGGCUAAUACCGGAUGGUUGUUUGAACCGCAUGGUUCAAACAUAAAAGGUGGCUUCGGGUACCACUUACAGAUGGACCCGCGGCGCAUUAUCUAGUUGGUGAGGUAAUGGGUCUCCAAGGCAACGAUGCGUAGCCGACCUGAGCGGGUGUUCAACUCUCCAGGGACUGAGCCAUAUUCAACAUCCCAACGGGGGGGAGCAGUAGGGAAUCUUCCGCAAUGGACGAAAGUCUGACGGAGCAACGCCGCGUGAGUGAUGAAGGUUUUCGGAUCGUAAAGCUCUGUUGUUAGGGAAAAACAAGUACCGUUCGAAUAGGGCGGUACCUUGACGGUACCUAACCAGAAAGCCACGGCUAACUACGUGCCAGCAGCCGGGGGAAUACGUAGGGGGCAAGCGUUGUCCGGAAUAAUUGGGCGUAAUAGGCCUCCCCAGGCGGUUUCUUAUGUUCUGAUGUGAAAACCCCCCGGCUCACCCACCGGGGGAGGGUCUAUUGGAAAAUGUGGGAAUUGAGUGCAUGAAGAGGAAAAGAGGGAAUACAACGUGAUCACGGGUGAUAUGCGGUAGAGAAUGUGGAGGAAACACCAGGGGGGAAGGCGACUCUCUGUUUCUCUACCUAUAGAAAUGAAAGAAGAGAAAGCGGGGGGAGGCGAAAAAGGAUUAAAUACCCCUGGGAUCCCACCCCCGUAAACAAAGAGUGCUAAAGUGAUUAGGGGGGGUUUCCCCCCCCUUAGUUGCAGCAGCUCACGCAUUAAGCACUCCCCCUGGGGAGUGCGGUCGCAAGACUGAAAACUCAAAGGAAAUGACGGGGGCCCGCACAAGCGGUGGAGCAUGUGGUUUAAUUCGAAGCAACGCGAAGAACCUUCCCAGGUCUUGACAUUCUCUGACAAUUCUAGAGAUAGGACGUCCCCUUCGGGGGCAGAGUGACAGGUGGUGCAUGGUUGUCGUCAGCUCGUGUCGUGAGAUGUUGGGUUAAGUCCCGCAACGAGCGCAACCCUUGAUCUUAGUUGCCAGCAUUCAGUUGGGCACUCUAAGGUGACUGCCGGUGACAAACCGGAGGAAGGUGGGGAUGACGUCAAAUCAUCAUGCCCCUUAUGACCUGGGCUACACACGUGCUACAAUGGACAGAACAAAGGGCAGCGAAACCGCGAGGUUAAGCCAAUCCCACAAAUCUGUUCUCAGUUCGGAUCGCAGUCUGCAACUCGACUGCGUGAAGCUGGAAUCGCUAGUAAUCGCGGAUCAGCAUGCCGCGGUGAAUACGUUCCCGGGCCUUGUACACACCGCCCGUCACACCACGAGAGUUUGUAACACCCGAAGUCGGUGAGGUAACCUUUAGGAGCCAGCCGGCGAACGGUGAACCAGGU
This 1483-nucleotide ribosomal RNA is filed under the name Bacillus tequilensis. RNAcentral's name for it is "bacterial SSU rRNA". It matches the Rfam family "Bacterial small subunit ribosomal RNA". The record is from RNAcentral. Lineage: Bacteria; Bacillati; Bacillota; Bacilli; Caryophanales; Bacillaceae.